Molecule: ribosomal RNA, 1342 nt
Filed under: uncultured bacterium
Lineage: Bacteria
Description: 16S ribosomal RNA
Rfam family: Bacterial small subunit ribosomal RNA
Source: RNAcentral
GACGAACGCUGGCGGCGUGCUUAACACAUGCAAGUCGAACGGAAAGGCCCUGCUUUUGUGGGGUGCUCGAGUGGCGAACGGGUGAGUAACACGUGAGUAACCUGCCCUUGACUUUGGGAUAACUUCAGGAAACUGGGGCUAAUACCGGAUAGGAGCUCCUGCUGCAUGGUGGGGGUUGGAAAGUUUCGGCGGUUGGGGAUGGACUCGCGGCUUAUCAGCUUGUUGGUGGGGUAGUGGCUUACCAAGGCUUUGACGGGUAGCCGACCUGAGAGGGUGACCGGCCACAUUGGGACUGAGAUACGGCCAGACUCCUACGGGAGGCAGCAGUGGGGAAUAUUGCACAAUGGGCGGAAGCCUGAUGCAGCAACGCCGCGUGCGGGAUGACGGCCUUCGGGUUGUAAACCGCUUUCGCCUGUGACGAAGCGUGAGUGACGGUAAUGGGUAAAGAAGCACCGGCUAACUACGUGCCAGCAGCCGCGGUGAUACGUAGGGUGCGAGCGUUGUCCGGAUUUAUUGGGCGUAAAGGGCUCGUAGGUGGUUGAUCGCGUCGGAAGUGUAAUCUUGGGGCUUAACCCUGAGCGUGCUUUCGAUACGGGUUGACUUGAGGAAGGUAGGGGAGAAUGGAAUUCCUGGUGGAGCGGUGGAGUGCGCAGAUAUCAGGAGGAACACCAGUGGCGAAGGCGGUUCUCUGGGCCUUUCCUGACGCUGAGGAGCGAAAGCGUGGGGAGCGAACAGGCUUAGAUACCCUGGUAGUCCACGCUGUAAACGGUGGGUACUAGGUGUGGGGUCCAUUCCACGGGUUCCGUGCCGUAGCUAACGCUUUAAGUACCCCGCCUGGGGAGUACGGCCGCAAGGCUAAAACUCAAAGGAAUUGACGGGGCCCCGCACAAGCGGCGGAGCAUGCGGAUUAAUUCGAUGCAACGCGUAGAACCUUACCUGGGUUUGACAUGGAUCGGGAGCGCUCAGAGAUGGGUGUGCCUCUUUUGGGGUCGGUUCACAGGUGGUGCAUGGCUGUCGUCAGCUCGUGUCGUGAGAUGUUGGGUUAAGUCCCGCAACGAGCGCAACCCUUGUUCACUGUUGCCAGCACGUUAUGGUGGGGACUCAGUGGAGACCGCCGGGGUCAACUCGGAGGAAGGUGGGGAUGACGUCAAGUCAUCAUGCCCCUUAUGUCCAGGGCUUCACGCAUGCUACAAUGGCUGGUACAGAGAGUGGCGAGCCUGUGAGGGUGAGCGAAUCUCGGAAAGCCGGUCUCAGUUCGGAUUGGGGUCUGCAACUCGACCUCAUGAAGUCGGAGUCGCUAGUAAUCGCAGAUCAGCAACGCUGCGGUGAAUACGUUCCCGGG